This 495-nucleotide ribosomal RNA is filed under the name uncultured bacterium. RNAcentral describes it as "partial 16S ribosomal RNA". It matches the Rfam family "Bacterial small subunit ribosomal RNA", at positions 28 to 505 of the family's 1533-position model. The record is from RNAcentral.
GAUGAACGCUGGCGGCGUGCCUAAUACAUGCAAGUCGAGCGAACGGACGAGAAGCUUGCUUCUCUGAUGUUAGCGGCGGACGGGUGAGUAACACGUGGAUAACCUACCUAUAAGACUGGGAUAACUUCGGGAAACCGGAGCUAAUACCGGAUAAUAUUUUGAACCGCAUGGUUCAAAAGUGAAAGACGGUCUUGCUGUCACUUAUAGAUGGAUCCGCGCUGCAUUAGCUAGUUGGUAAGGUAACGGCUUACCAAGGCAACGAUGCAUAGCCGACCUGAGAGGGGUUCCCCCCCCACUGACCCCGGGACCCUCUCCAGCCCCCUGCGGGAGCCAGCAGUGGGAAAUUUCCCGAAAGGGGCGAACCCCUGAGGGAGCACCGCCGCGUGAGGGAUGAGGUUCUUCGGUCCUAAAAACUCUUUUUUUGGGAAAAAAAAUUUUUUUAAGUAACUGCCCCUCUCUUGGCGUUCCCUAAUCAAAAGCCCCCGGCUACCUCCG